GACGAACGCUGGCGGCGUGCCUAAUACAUGCAAGUAGAACGCACAGUUUAUACCGUAGCUUGCUACACCAUAAACUGUGAGUUGCGAACGGGUGAGUAACGCGUAGGUAACCUGCCUGGUAGCGGGGGAUAACUAUUGGAAACGAUAGCUAAUACCGCAUAAUAUUGAUUAUUGCAUGAUAAUUGAUUGAAAGAUGCUAUUGCAUCACUACCAGAUGGACCUGCGUUGUAUUAGCUAGUAGGUGAGGUAACGGCUCACCUAGGCGACGAUACAUAGCCGACCUGAGAGGGUGAUCGGCCACACUGGGACUGAGACACGGCCCAGACUCCUACGGGAGGCAGCAGUAGGGAAUCUUCGGCAAUGGACGAAAGUCUGACCGAGCAACGCCGCGGGAGUGAAGAAGGUUUUCGGAUCGUAAAGCUCUGUUGUAAGAGAAGAACGGGUGUGAGAGUGGAAAGUUCACACUGUGACGGUAUCUUACCAGAAAGGGACGGCUAACUACGUG
This 505-nucleotide ribosomal RNA is filed under the name uncultured bacterium. RNAcentral's name for it is "partial 16S ribosomal RNA". It matches the Rfam family "Bacterial small subunit ribosomal RNA", at positions 28 to 507 of the family's 1533-position model. The record is from RNAcentral.